This 253-nucleotide ribosomal RNA is filed under the name uncultured bacterium. RNAcentral's name for it is "partial 16S ribosomal RNA". It matches the Rfam family "Bacterial small subunit ribosomal RNA", at positions 524 to 776 of the family's 1533-position model. The record is from RNAcentral.
UACGUAGGGGGCAAGCGUUGUCCGGAUUUAUUGGGCGUAAAGAGCAUGCAGGCGGCUUGGUAGGUCCGCUGUGAAAACUCGAGGCUCAACCUCGAGAUGUCGGCGGAAACCACUUGGCUAGAGUCCGGAAGAGGAGAGUGGAAUUCCCGGUGUAGCGGUGAAAUGCGCAGAUAUCGGGAAGAACACCUAUGGCGAAGGCAGCUCUCUGGGACGGUACUGACGCUGAGACGCGAAAGCGUGGGGAGCGAACAGG